Molecule: ribosomal RNA, 1751 nt
Filed under: biogas fermenter metagenome
Description: bacterial LSU rRNA
Rfam family: Bacterial large subunit ribosomal RNA
Source: RNAcentral
UGGGUAGUGGCGUGCCUUUUGAAGAAUGAGCCUGCGAGUUACGUUAUAUAGCGAGGUUAAGGAAUAGUAGUUCCGGAGCCGUAGGGAAACCGAGUCUUAAUAGGGCGUUUUAAGUUGUAUGACGUAGACCCGAAGCCAUGGUGAUCUAGUCAUGAGCAGGUUGAAGCAAGGGUAAAACCUUGUGGAGGACCGAACUAUAAUCUGUUAAAAAAGGUAUGGAUGACUUGUGACUCGGAGUGAAAGGCUAAACAAACCUGGAAAUAGCUGGUUCUCCCCGAAAUGCCUUUAGGGACAGCCUCAUACAAAAUUACUGGGGGUAAAGCACUGGAUGGACUAGGGGGCGUCACUGCCUACCAAACCCAAUCAAACUCUGAAUACCAGUAAUCAACGUAUGGGAGUGAGACUACGUGCGACAAGGUUCGUAGUCAAGAGGGAAACAGCCCAGACCAACAACUAAGGUCCCCAAAUAUUGCUAAGUGUAAAAUGAAGUGUAAGUGCACAGACAGCCAGGAGGUUGGCUUAGAAGCAGCCAUUCCUUAAAAGAGUGCGUAAUAGCUCACUGGUCGAGCACUUAUGCGCAGAUAAUGUAACGGGGCUAAGCAAUAUACCGAAGUUUUGGAUCUAACUCUUUGUGAGUUAGGUGGUAGGGGAGCGUUCCAUAGGUCGAUGAAGGUAAGUUGUAAGACUUGCUGGAGAUAUUGGAAGUGAGAAUGCAGGUAUAAGUAACGAAAAGACGGGUGAGAUCCCCGUCCGCCGAAAACCUAAGGUUUCCUGGGUAAAGGUAAUCUGCCCAGGGUAAGUCGGCCCCUAAGGCCAGGACGAAGGUCGUAGCCGAUGGGAAUCCGGUUCAAAUUCCGGAACCUUUAUUAGUUUCGAGGGCAAGACGCAUGAGGUGAAACCAGGCAGGGCGACGGUUGUCCCUGUCGAAGUAUCCGAGCUUUUGAGGUCUGUAGGCAAAUCCGCAGACUGAGGUGAGGUGCGAAGCGAGUGGAAAGAAAGUUGAAGCGAAGCUGGUGUAAUCAUGGUGCCAAGAAAUACUGUCUAAGGUUAGGCUAAUAAAGACCGUACCGUAAACCGACACAGGUAGGUGGGAUGAGAAAUCUAAGGCGCUCGAGAGAACUCGCGUUAAGGAACUCGGCAAAAUGCACACGUAACUUCGGGAGAAGUGUGGCCCCUUUUUGGUAAAAGAUGGGGGGUGGCACAGAGCAGGCCCAGGCGACUGUUUAUCAAAAACACAGGCAUCUGCGAAUCAGCAAUGAGACGUAUAGGUGCUGACACCUGCCCGGUGCUGGAAGGUUAAGAGGAGCGGUUAGCAGAGCUGCGAAGCUGCGAAUCGAAGCCCCAGUAAACGGCGGCCGUAACUAUAACGGUCCUAAGGUAGCGAAAUUCCUUGUCGGGUAAGUUCCGACCCGCACGAAUGGUGUAACGAUUCUGGGCACUGUCUCAACGCGAGACUCGGUGAAAUUUAUAUACCGGUAAAGAAGCCGGUUACUCACAGUUAGACGGAAAGACCCCGUGAACCUUCACCGUAACUUACUAUUGGGAUUUUAUUUAUCAUGUGUAGAAUAGGUGGGAGACUAUGAAGUAUGGGCGUUAGCUUGUAUGGAGUCGGCCAGUGAAAUACCACCCUUGGUGAAUGGAAUUUCUAACACAUGCCAUGAAGCUGGUGUGUGGACAGUGGUAGGCAGGCGGUUUGACUGGGGCGGUCGCCUCCUAAAGAGUAACGGAGGCGCGCGAAGGUCUCCUCGCGC